RNAcentral lists this ribosomal RNA (746 nucleotides) under uncultured archaeon. RNAcentral's name for it is "bacterial SSU rRNA". It matches the Rfam family "Archaeal small subunit ribosomal RNA", at positions 130 to 859 of the family's 1478-position model. The record is from RNAcentral.
CCCCGGGAAACUGGGGCUAAUUCUCGAUAGGUGAAGAACUCUGGAAUGAGUCUUUGCCAAAAAGACGUUUACGUUAUGCUCGUAGGCGUCGCCCAAGGAUGAGGCCGCGACCGAUCAGGUUGUUGGUGAGGUAAUGGCUCACCAAGCCUUUUACCGGUGCGGGCCGUGAGAGCGGGAGCCCGGAGAUGGGCACUGAGACAAGGGCCCAGGCCCUACGGGGCGCAGCAGUCGCGAAGACUUUGCAAUACACGAAAGUGUGACAGGGCUAUCCCGAGUGCCAUCCGCUGAGGAAGGCUUUUACCCAGUCUAGAACGCUGGGGGAAUAAGGAGAGGGCAAGUCUGGUGUCAGCCGCCGCGGUAAUACCAGCUCUCCGAGUGGUGUGGAUGUUUAUUGGGCCUAAAGCAUCCGUAGCUGGCUGAGUUAGUCCCUUGUUAAAUCCACCGAAUUAAUCGUUGGAUUGCGGGGGAUACUGCUCGGCUAGGGGACGAGAGAGGCAGACGGUAUUUCUGGGGUAGGGGUGAAAUCCUAUAAUCCCAGGAGGACCACCAGUGGCGAAGGCUGUCUGCUAGAACGCGCCCGACGGUGAGGGAUGAAAGCUGGGGGAGCGAACCGGAUUAGAUACCCGGGUAGUCCCAGCUGUAAACGAUGCAGACUAGGUGUUUGGACGGCCACGUGCCGUUCUAGUGCCGCAGGGAAGCUGUUAAGUCUGCCGCCUGGGGAGUACGAUCGCAAGAUUGAAACUUAA